ACUUUUAUAAUGGGGUACCAUUUUGCAAAUAAUCCCUCCAACUUUCACUUUCUCAAACCAGUUAAACUGGCACUUCGGGACACUGCGUACCGGUACUCAUACCCGUAUACCGAUACACGGCCUCCAGUUUCGGUGCCCAGUUUCCAGUCCCUCAAAACUAGACCUGGCAAAAUUGACCCAAACCCGCGGGUUACCCACAAAUUUGUGGCUAUGGGUACCAACUUUUCCAACCCAAAAAAUUACGGGUAAAACAGGUGGGUACCCAUUAAGCAGUGGGUAUUUUGGGUAACCCGCAGGUACCCACGAGUACCCGCACAUAUAUUUUUUAAUUAUAAAAUAUAUUUUCUUAAUUAAUAUAUAUUUUUUAUUUACUCAUCCUAAAAAUUCCAAUCCUAAUUUUUUAUUGCGUGUUUUUUAUAUUAUGAAAUAUUUUUGCUUUAAGACUUUAAAUAUUUUUAUUAUAUGUUAU
Molecule: long non-coding RNA, 469 nt
Filed under: Ananas comosus (pineapple)
Lineage: Eukaryota; Viridiplantae; Streptophyta; Magnoliopsida; Poales; Bromeliaceae
Description: long non-coding RNA (ACOM_LNC011924)
Source: RNAcentral